Molecule: ribosomal RNA, 306 nt
Filed under: uncultured bacterium
Lineage: Bacteria
Description: partial 16S ribosomal RNA
Rfam family: Bacterial small subunit ribosomal RNA
Source: RNAcentral
GACAGCAGCAGCCGCGGGAAUACGUAGGGUGCGAGCGUUAAUCGGAAUUACUGGGCGUAAAGCGUGCGCAGGCGGUUAUAUAAGACAGAUGUGAAAUCCCCGGGCUCAACCUGGGACCUGCAUUUGUGACUGUAUAGCUAGAGUACGGUAGAGGGGGAUGGAAUUCCGCGUGUAGCAGUGAAAUGCGUAGAUAUGCGGAGGAACACCGAUGGCGAAGGCAAUCCCCUGGACCUGUACUGACGCUCAUGCACGAAAGCGUGGGGAGCAAACAGGAUUAGAUACCCCGGUAGUCCCUGUCUCUUAUAC